ACCAAACGCUGCCUUAGUGACAUAAGAAGGCUUUCCUAAAUCCAGGCUAAUAUACUUUAGUUCAUUUCCGUUACUAGCUCCGGCUGAUUGAUAUACAAAUGUUGUUUGUUCUCCGUUGAAUAUGUACAUACAAAACCUGCAAUUAAAUCAGCAAAACUCAGCAAAAGAUCAGUCUAUUCAGAAACAGAUAAAUUGUUUUAUACUUCAGGAAAAAGACAUAAAUGCAGACCUUCCAUAAUGGUUAACCCCAACAUAUAUAUUACACAAACUUAGUAAAAUUUAAACUAAAAAAUAAAAUAUAGAAAGACUGAGCGGACAUUCGAUCUCCAAAAUUGGAUUGAAGGCAAUUGAAUUCCCUUGACAUAAAAUUCAUGAAUCCGGCCACCACUCGGAACAAGCAUAAGGAUAUAUUUGUCACUUUUGUCCUAGUAAAAACAAUCAACGAGUCAUACUUAGAUAUUUUGAGAGUUGAUUUCUCAGAUAAUCACUCAACUACUAGUUAUUAUUUCAAUAAAGUAUUUUCUUUAUUGAAGAAUAUUAGGAUUAAGAAAAAGACUGACUUUCUGAGAUAAUAACUAUUAGUUGAGGACCAUAUGAGAAACCAAUCCAAUACUUCAACCAAUACUCCUUUGUUCAUUCCCAAAUCUUUUAUCUAUCAAAUAAAGACCUUAAUAGAGUUCUUUAUAUAAUACAAUACAUAGUCC
RNAcentral lists this long non-coding RNA (704 nucleotides) under Capsicum annuum. Its description in RNAcentral is "long non-coding RNA (CANN_LNC019778)". The record is from RNAcentral. Lineage: Eukaryota; Viridiplantae; Streptophyta; Magnoliopsida; Solanales; Solanaceae.